AACGAACGUUAGCGGCGCGCCUAACACAUGCAAGUCGCACGAGAAAGGGCUUCGGCCCCGGUACAGUGGCGCACGGGUGAGUAACACGUGGGUAAUCUUCCCUUGGGUUGGGGAUAACCUUCCGAAGGGAGGGCUAAUACCGAAUAAGACCACGCCUCCGAAAGGAGGAGAGGUCAAAGCUGGCCACUCUAUAGAAGCUAGCGCCUAGGGAUGAGCCCGCGGCCCAUCAGGUAGUUGGUAGGGUAAUGGCCUACCAAGCCAAAGACGGGUAGCUGGUCUGAGAGGAUGAUCAGCCACACUGGAACUGAGACACGGUCCAGACUCCUACGGGAGGCAGCAGUGGGGAAUCUUGCGCAAUGGGCGAAAGCCUGACGCAGCGACGCCGCGUGAGUGAUGAAGGCCUUCGGGUUGUAAAGCUCUGUGGGGCGGGACGAAUUAGUAGAGGUCAAUACCCUCUAUGAUGACGGUACCGUCUUAGCAAGCACCGGCUAACUCUGUGCCAGCAGCCGCAGUAA
Molecule: ribosomal RNA, 515 nt
Filed under: uncultured bacterium
Lineage: Bacteria
Description: partial 16S ribosomal RNA
Rfam family: Bacterial small subunit ribosomal RNA
Source: RNAcentral